GACAUAGCAAGGAGACUUAUAUUUAAGCGAAGGAGAAACAGGAAGGGCCCUCUUUUCCCCUCCGGUCCUGCUCCAGCGGCAUGAUGUGAGCCACCAGCAAGGAGGGACUCCAAUAAGGCGUCAGAUAAGAUUAUGCAUGAAUUUUGGUGAUAGAAAUAUUGCAGAGCAACAACAACAACAAAAAAGCUCAGUCAGGAAAGGUCUUACCUCACAAGAAUGAAGACAUCAGUUUCCCUCUCCAGCAUCAAGGUAAAAUAGCUGGGUAUGGCUGUGUAAGCUCACCUGAAAUCCCAGAGCUGGAAUGUGGAGACAGGAACAGAUU
This 322-nucleotide long non-coding RNA is filed under the name Cricetulus griseus (Chinese hamster). RNAcentral's name for it is "lncRNA (ENSCGRG00000026513.1)". The record is from RNAcentral. Lineage: Eukaryota; Metazoa; Chordata; Mammalia; Rodentia; Cricetidae.